Phialemonium atrogriseum is the source of this 87-nucleotide non-coding RNA. The record is from the annotation of a RefSeq genome assembly. Lineage: Eukaryota; Fungi; Ascomycota; Sordariomycetes; Cephalothecales; Cephalothecaceae.
GGGGAUGUAGCACAGUUGGUAGUGCGCAUGCUUAGCAACGUUAAGCAUCUCUGCAUGAGGUCCUGGGUUCGAUUCCCAGCAUCUCCA